This 253-nucleotide ribosomal RNA is filed under the name uncultured bacterium. RNAcentral describes it as "partial 16S ribosomal RNA". It matches the Rfam family "Bacterial small subunit ribosomal RNA", at positions 524 to 776 of the family's 1533-position model. The record is from RNAcentral.
UACGUAGGUGGCAAGCGUUGUCCGGAUUUAUUGGGCUUAAAGGGUGCGUAGGCGGUCUUAUAAGUCAGUUGUGAAAUAUGGCAGCUUAACUGUCAAGGUGCAAUUGAUACUGUAAGACUUGAGUACUGUUGAGGUAGGCGGAAUGGACGGUGUAGCGGUGAAAUGCUUAGAGAUCGUCCAGAACACCGAUAGCGAAGGCAGCUUACUAAAGAGUAACUGACGCUGAGGCACGAAAGUGUGGGGAUCAAACAGG